UACUCAACUAUUCACAAAUAUUCUUGUCAUCCUAAUUUCUAAAUCACUUACUCAAAUCUACAGUAUUUCUUGAAUAAAUGAAAACUUUCCAAAAAUAGCAAAUUUUAAAAAAAUUAUUUAAAACUACAACAUAUUGAUGAAAAACUCAGAAAAAAUACUCAUCUAUCUACAAAUAUUCUUGUUUUUCUAAUUUCUAAAUCACAAACUCUAAUCUACAGUAUUUCUCUAGUAAAUGAAAUCUUUCCUAAAAUAUCAGUUUUUAAACCAUUAUUCAAAAAUACAACCUAUUCAUGAAAAACUCAGAAAAAAUACUCAACUAUCCACAAAUAUUCUUGUUAUCCGAAUUUCUAAAUAACAAACCCAAAUCUACAAUAUUAUUCAAAAAAAAUGAAAACUUUCCAAAAAUAGCAAUUUUAAAGAAAAUUAUUUAAAAAUACAACCUACUGAUGAAAAAUACAGAAAAAAUACUAAACUAUCCACAAAUAUUCUUGUUAUCUUAAUUUCUAAAUCAUAAACUUAUAUCUACAUUAUUUCUCAAAAAAAUGAAAACUUUCCAAAAAUAACAGUUUUUAGGAAAAUUAUUUAAAAAUACAAAUUAUUUAUGAAAAACUCAGAAAAAAUACUCAACUAUCCACAAAUAUUUUUGUUAUCCGAAUUUCCAAAUCACAAACUCUAAUCUACAGUAUUUCUCUAGUAAAUGAAAACUUUCCUAAAAUAGCAGUUUUUAAAACAAUUAUUUAAAAAUACAACCUAUUCAUGAAAAACUCAGAAAAAAUACUCAACUAUCCACAAAUAUUCUUGUUAUCCGAAUUUCUAAAUAACAAACUCAAAUCUACAAUAUUCCUAAAAAAAUGAAAACUUUCCAAAAAUAGCAUUUUUUAAGAAAAUUAUUUAAAAAUACAAGCUAGUGAUGAAAAACUCUGAAAAAAUACUCAAUUAUUCACAAAUAUUCUUGUCAUCCUAAUUUCUAAAUCACAAACUC
Brassica rapa (field mustard) is the source of this 982-nucleotide long non-coding RNA. RefSeq lists it as uncharacterized. The record is from RefSeq and is a predicted model, not a curated record. NCBI's taxonomy places the organism in Eukaryota, Viridiplantae, Streptophyta, Magnoliopsida, Brassicales, Brassicaceae.